RNAcentral lists this ribosomal RNA (361 nucleotides) under uncultured eukaryote. RNAcentral describes it as "bacterial SSU rRNA". It matches the Rfam family "Eukaryotic small subunit ribosomal RNA", at positions 592 to 961 of the family's 1831-position model. The record is from RNAcentral.
CAAUAGCGUAUAUUAAAGUUGUUGCGGUAAAAAGCUCGUAGUUGGAUUUCUGCUGAGGAUGGGCGGUCCGCUCACUGAGCGUGUAUCUGCUUCAGCCUUGGCAUCCUCUCGUUAAUCGUUUCUGCGCUUGAUUGCGUGGGGCGGGUGGCGGGACUUUUACUUUGAGGAAAUUAGAGUGUUCACGGCAGGCUAUCGCCAGAAUACAUUAGCAUGGAAUAAUACUAUAGGAUCUUGGUCCUAUUUGUUGGUUUCUAGGAUUAAGAUAAUGAUUAAUAGGGAUAGUUGGGGCAUUAGGUACUUAACUGUCAGAGGUGAAAUUCUCCGAUUUGUUAAAGACUAACUUAUGCGAAAGCAUUUGCCA